AACGAACGCUGGCGGCAUGCCUAACACAUGCAAGUCGAACGAGAACAUCGGGCAGCGUGGCGCACGGGUGCGUAAUGCGGGGGAACCGGCCCUUAGGUGCGGAAUAACCUGCUGAAAGGGGUGCUAAAAUGGGAAAAUUUGUUCGGACCAAAGAUUUAUUUCCUUUGGAUGGGCCGGAGUUUGAUUAGUCUGUUCGUAGGGUAAAAGCAUAUCAAGGCGACGAGACAUAGCUGGUCUGUGAGGAUGAGCCGCCACACUGGGGCUGGGACACGGGCGGGACUCCUACGGGAGGCAGCAGAGGGGAAUAUUGGAAAACGGGGGAAAGCAUGAUGCAGCUAGGCCGCGUGAGUGAUGAAGGCCUUAGGGUAGUAAAGCUCUUUUACCCGGGAUGAUAAUGACAGUACCGGGAGAAUAAGCUCCGGCUAACUCCGUG
This 433-nucleotide ribosomal RNA is filed under the name uncultured bacterium. RNAcentral describes it as "partial 16S ribosomal RNA". It matches the Rfam family "Bacterial small subunit ribosomal RNA", at positions 29 to 507 of the family's 1533-position model. The record is from RNAcentral.